AAAGCAGUGAUGACGUAACAGAAGAACCUGCUUCAAUAAGGGUAUGUGACGUCACAGAAGAAUCGCAAAAGAUUUCUUCCCGCCUAAAAGACUAGACAAAGACGAAAAAAGGCGCAAGACGAAGAACAAAGACGACGACGCCAAUAUAAGGAUGCCGGUUUGAGGUUUUUUUAAGCUUAAGUGUGUAUAGGCCUAAUUAUAAGUGUGUAUAGGCCUACUAUAGGUGUGUAUAGGCUUAGUAUAGGUGGUACGCGCGAAGAAAGAAGAUCAAAGACGCCGACAAAGGAUGUCGGUUUCAGGUGGUUUAUAGGCUUAGUGUUUAAGUAUGAAUGUUUGCGUGUUUAGCUGGUGCACUCCUACAGUGUUGCCAGUUAUUUUUUGCUGGGCCUAAUGUUGCCAGCUAUGUCCCCCAAGCACUUUUCAGUGCUUCUACAUGUCUUUGAAAUAAAUGCAAAGGAAUUGUUGUAACAAUCUUACUUGAUAAAGAUUAGCAUCUACUGUAGUGUUCAUUCCUUCC
Non-coding RNA from Ciona intestinalis (vase tunicate), 517 nucleotides. The record is from RefSeq and is a predicted model, not a curated record. NCBI's taxonomy places the organism in Eukaryota, Metazoa, Chordata, Ascidiacea, Phlebobranchia, Cionidae.